RNAcentral lists this long non-coding RNA (319 nucleotides) under Sorghum bicolor (sorghum). Its description in RNAcentral is "long non-coding RNA (SBIC_LNC013416)". The record is from RNAcentral. Lineage: Eukaryota; Viridiplantae; Streptophyta; Magnoliopsida; Poales; Poaceae.
CCAAGGGGUUCACGGCGCAAUGGCAAAGGUCAUUGGUUGGGGGCUCCCACCCAGGGUUCAAAUCCUGGGUGCGGCACUUUAUUCUGGAUUUAUUUUAGAAUUUUCCGGCGCUAUGCAUUAAGUGGUAGGCGACGUGCCCGUCGACAGCGAUUUGCCGACUCAGUCCUUCGAAGGUGCUCAUAGGGGUAGGGUUUGCGUACGUGUGUUCAUAGGGGUGAGUGUGCGUGCAUGUUGAGUGUCUGCGUUGUAGUGUGUAAUCUCAAAAAAAAAGUUUUUUUGAGACACAUGCAUCUACCGCCAUUCUCUUGGUUUCUGUUUU